GGCGAACGGGUGAGUAACACGUGGAUAACCUGCCUGUACAUCUGGGAUAAUCCUUCGAAAGGGGGCUUAAUACCGGAUAAUAUUCCGAGGCGGCAUCGCUUUGGAAUCAAAGACGGGGCAACCUAUCGUGAACAGAUGGAUCCGCGUCCCAUUAGCUUGUUGGCGGGGUAACGGCCCACCAAGGCUUCGAUGGGUAGCCGGCCUGAGAGGGUGAACGGCCACACUGGGACUGAGAUACGGCCCAGACUCCUACGGGAGGCAGCAGUAGGGAAUAUUGCGCAAUGGACGAAAGUCUGACGCAGCAACGCCGCGUGAGUGAUGAAGCAUUUCGGUGUGUAAAACUCUGUCAGUGGGGAAGAACAGCAUCAGGAGUAACUGCCUGGUGCCUGACGGUACCCGCAGAGGAAGUCCCGGCUAACUCCGUGCCAGCAGCCGCGGUAAUACGGGGGGGACGAGCGUUGUUCGGAUUUACUGGGCGUAAAGGGCGCGUA
This 491-nucleotide ribosomal RNA is filed under the name uncultured Pseudomonadota bacterium. RNAcentral's name for it is "bacterial SSU rRNA". It matches the Rfam family "Bacterial small subunit ribosomal RNA", at positions 97 to 573 of the family's 1533-position model. Lineage: Bacteria; Pseudomonadati; Pseudomonadota. The record is from RNAcentral.